This 434-nucleotide ribosomal RNA is filed under the name uncultured bacterium. Its description in RNAcentral is "partial 16S ribosomal RNA". It matches the Rfam family "Bacterial small subunit ribosomal RNA", at positions 29 to 507 of the family's 1533-position model. The record is from RNAcentral.
AGCGAACGCUGGCGGCAGGCCUAACACAUGCAAGUCGAACGAACCUUUCGGGGUUAGUGGCGGACGGGUGAGUAACACGUGGGAACGUGCCUUUAGGUUCGGAAUAACUCAGGGAAACUUGUGCUAAUACCGAAUGUGCCCUUCGGGGGAAAGAUUUAUCGCCUUUAGAGCGGCCCGCGUCUGAUUAGCUAGUUGGUUGAGGUAAUGGCUCACCAAGGCGACGAUCAGUAGCUGGUCUGAGAGGAUGAUCAGCCACAUUGGGACUGAGACACGGCCCAAACUCCUACGGGAGGCAGCAGUGGGGAAUCUUGCGCAAUGGGCGAAAGCCUGACGCAGCCAUGCCGCGUGAAUAAUGAAGGUCUUAGGAUUGUAAAAUUCUUUCACCGGGGACGAUAAUGACGGUACCCGGAGAAGAAGCCCCGGCUAACUUCGUG